GAAAGUUCAUCAGGUUAUGCCGGAAAGAAGACAAAAAUUCCUCGGGUUAUGCCGGAGAGGUCCACGGGUUAUGCCGGGAAAGUUCAUCGGGUUAUGCCGUAAAAGAAAAAAGUCCUCGGGUUAUGCCGGGGAGGUCCACAGAUUAUGCCGGGAAAGUUCAUCGGGUUAUGCCGAAAAAGAAAAAAGUCCUCGGGUUAUGCUGGGGAGGUCCAUGAGUUAUGCCGGAAAAGAAAAAAGUCUUCGGGUUAUGCCGGGGAGUGCCACGAGUUUUCGCUGGGAAAGUUCAUCGAGUUAUGCCAGAAAAGAAAAAAAGUCCUCGGGUUAUGCCGUGGAGGUCUACGGGUUAUG
This 348-nucleotide long non-coding RNA is filed under the name Nicotiana tabacum (common tobacco). Its description in RNAcentral is "long non-coding RNA (NTAB_LNC001938)". The record is from RNAcentral. Lineage: Eukaryota; Viridiplantae; Streptophyta; Magnoliopsida; Solanales; Solanaceae.